UUAUAGUUAUACGACUGACGGAAGUGGAAUAAACCACAUGAAGUAUAAUAAUCAAGAGCCGACCGUCUGGGCAAAAGAG
This 79-nucleotide non-coding RNA is filed under the name Eubacterium limosum. RNAcentral describes it as "ZTP sequence". It matches the Rfam family "ZMP/ZTP riboswitch aptamer (pfl RNA motif)". From Rfam's summary of the family: Previously known as pfl RNA. ZMP is also known as AICAR. The record is from RNAcentral. Lineage: Bacteria; Bacillati; Bacillota; Clostridia; Eubacteriales; Eubacteriaceae. RNAcentral also lists the same sequence under 1 other name.